Molecule: ribosomal RNA, 465 nt
Filed under: uncultured bacterium
Lineage: Bacteria
Description: SSU rRNA
Rfam family: Bacterial small subunit ribosomal RNA
Source: RNAcentral
AGGACGAACGCUGGCGGCGUGCUUAACACAUGCAAGUCGAACGGAAAGGCCCUUCGGGGUACUCGAGUGGCGAACGGGUGAGUAACACGUGGGUGAUCUGCCCCGCACUUUGGGAUAAGCCUGGGAAACUGGGUCUAAUACCGAAUAGGACCAUGGCAUGCAUGUGCUGUGGUGGAAAGCUUUUGCGGUGUGGGAUGGGCCCGCGGCCUAUCAGCUUGUUGGUGGGGUUAAGGCCUACCAAGGCGACGACGGGUAGCCGGCCUGAGAGGGUGUCCGGCCACACUGGGACUGAGAUACGGCCCAGACUCCUACGGGAGGCAGCAGUGGGGAAUAUUGCACAAUGGGCGCAAGCCUGAUGCAGCGACGCCGCGUGGGGAUGACGGCCUUCGGUUGUAACCCUGUCAGGGAUAGAAAGUUCUGAUCAUCCCCAGAGGAAGGCACGGCUAACUCUGUGCCAGCAGCCGC